Molecule: ribosomal RNA, 468 nt
Filed under: uncultured bacterium
Lineage: Bacteria
Description: partial 16S ribosomal RNA
Rfam family: Bacterial small subunit ribosomal RNA
Source: RNAcentral
GACGAACGCUGGCGGCGUGCUUAACACAUGCAAGUCGAACGGAAAGGCCCUGCUUUUGUGGGGUGCUCGAGUGGCGAACGGGUGAGUAACACGUGAGUAACCUGCCCUUGACUUUGGGAUAACUUCAGGAAACUGGGGCUAAUACCGGAUAGGAGCUCCUGCUGCAUGGUGGGGGUUGGAAAGUUUCGGCGGUUGGGGAUGGACUCGCGGCUUAUCAGCUUGUUGGUGGGGUAGUGGCUUACCAAGGCUUUGACGGGUGGCCGGCCUGAGAGGGUGACCGGCCACAUUGGGACUGAGAUACGGCCCAGACUCCUACGGGAGGCAGCAGUGGGGAAUAUUGCACGAUGGGCGGAAGCCUGAUGCAGCAACGCCGCGUGCGGGAUGACGGCCUUCGGGUUGUAAACCGCUUUCGCCUGUGACGAAGCGUGAGUGACGGUAAUGGGUAAAGAAGCACCGGCUAACUACGUG